CGCCGCGGVCAAUACGUAGGUGACAAGCGUUGUCCGGAUUAAUUGGGCGUAAAGCGAGCGCAGGCGGGUCCGGUAAGUCUGAUGUGAAAGCCCACGGCUCAACCGUGGAACGGCAUUGGAAACUGGCGGACUUGAAUGUAGCAGAGGAAAGUGGAAUUCCAUGUGUAGCGGUGGAAUGCGUAGAUAUAUGGAGGAACACCAGUGGCGAAAGCGACUUUGUGGGCUAUGAUUGACGCUGAGGCUCGAAAGCGUGGGGAGCGAACAGGAUUAGAUACCCUGGUAGUCCACGCCGUAAACGAUGAGUGCUAAGUGUUGGAGGGUUUCCGCCCUUCAGUGCUGGAGUUAACGCAUUAAGCGCUCCGCCUGGGGAUUACGAGGGCAAGGUUGAAACUCAAAAGAAUUGACGGGGACCCGCACAAGCGGCGGAGCAUGUGGUUUAAUUCGAAGCAACGCGAAGAACCUUACCAGCUCUUGACAUCUUCUGCCACCUUCAGAGAUGAAGGGUUCCUUCGGGGACAGAAUGACAGGUGGUGCAUGGUUGUCGUCAGCUCGUGUCGUGAGAUGUUGGGUUAAGUCCCGUAACGAGCGCAACCCUUAUUGUUAGUUGCCAGCAUUGAGUUGGGCACUCUAGCAAGACUGCCGGUGAUAAACCGGAGGAAGGCGGGGAUGACGUCAAAUCAUCAUGCCCCUUAUGAGCUGGGCUACACACGUGCUACAAUGGAUGGUACAACGAGUGGCGAGACCGUGAGGUUUAGCUAAUCUCCCAAAGCCAUUCUCAGUUCGGAUUGCAGGCUGCAACUCGCCUGCAUGAAGUCGGAAUCGCUAGUAAUCGCGGAUCCGAAUGCCGCGGUGAAUUCGUUCCCGGGUCUU
RNAcentral lists this ribosomal RNA (870 nucleotides) under uncultured Alloiococcus sp. RNAcentral describes it as "bacterial SSU rRNA". It matches the Rfam family "Bacterial small subunit ribosomal RNA", at positions 513 to 1382 of the family's 1533-position model. Lineage: Bacteria; Bacillati; Bacillota; Bacilli; Lactobacillales; Carnobacteriaceae. The record is from RNAcentral.